UAGGGAAUCUUCCGCAAUGGACGAAAGUCUGACGGAGCAACGCCGCGUGAGUGAAGAAGGAUUUCGGUUCGUAAAACUCUGUUGUUAGGGAAGAAAAAAUGUAUAGUAACUAUAUACAAAAGAGACGGUACCUAACCAGAAAGCCACGGCUAACUACGUGCCAGCAGCCGCGGUAAUACGUAGGUGGCAAGCGUUGUCCGGAAUUAUUGGGCGUAAAGCGCGCGCAGGUGGUUUAGAAAGUCUGAUGUGAAAGCCCACGGCUCAACCGUGGAUGGUCAAUUGAAACUAAUACUCUUGGGUGCAGGCGAGAAAAGUGGAAUUCCUAGUGUUGCGGUGGAAUUCGUAGAGAUUAGGAGGAACACCGGUGGCGAAAGCGGCUUUUUGGCCUGCAACUGACACUGAGGCGCGAAAGCGUGGGGAGCAAACAGG
This 429-nucleotide ribosomal RNA is filed under the name Verrucomicrobiota bacterium. Its description in RNAcentral is "Verrucomicrobia bacterium partial 16S ribosomal RNA". It matches the Rfam family "Bacterial small subunit ribosomal RNA", at positions 355 to 776 of the family's 1533-position model. The record is from RNAcentral. Lineage: Bacteria; Pseudomonadati; Verrucomicrobiota.